RNAcentral lists this small nuclear RNA (154 nucleotides) under Triticum aestivum (bread wheat). Its description in RNAcentral is "U1 spliceosomal RNA". It matches the Rfam family "U1 spliceosomal RNA". From Rfam's summary of the family: U1 is a small nuclear RNA (snRNA) component of the spliceosome (involved in pre-mRNA splicing). Its 5' end forms complementary base pairs with the 5' splice junction, thus defining the 5' donor site of an intron. Lineage: Eukaryota; Viridiplantae; Streptophyta; Magnoliopsida; Poales; Poaceae. The record is from Rfam by way of RNAcentral.
UUACUUACCCGGACUGGGUCGACGGGCGAUCAAGAAGGCCCGUGGUCUGGGUCAAUGGCCCACAUUGCACUUGGGUGCGUUGGCCCAUCAUCUCCCCAAGUGGAGAAUGAACGUCAUAAUUUGUGAUAGAGGGCGCGGCCCCUGCCAAUCCUUU